CUCGGCUCCCCACGUGGCGUCAUCUUGAGGAACUCCCCCAGGGCAGGAAUGCAGCAAGGGUACUCGAGCUCUGGCGGGUGCGUGGGGAGUCCUUUGU
Trueperella pyogenes is the source of this 97-nucleotide non-coding RNA. The record is from Rfam. Lineage: Bacteria; Bacillati; Actinomycetota; Actinomycetes; Actinomycetales; Actinomycetaceae.